UACGUAGGGGGCUAGCGUUGUCCGGAUUUACUGGGCGUAAAGCGUACGCAGACGGCUUGGUAGGUCGGACGUGAAAGCCCCGGGCUCAACCCGGGAAAUGCGUCCGAAACCCCCUUGCUUGAGUAUGAAAGAGGAAAGCGGAAUUCCUGGCGUAGAGGUGAAAUUCGUAGAUAUCAGGAGGAACAUCGGCGGCGAAGGCGGCUUUCUGGCUCAUUACUGACGUUCAGGUACGAAAGCGUGGGUAGCAAACAGG
RNAcentral lists this ribosomal RNA (253 nucleotides) under uncultured bacterium. Its description in RNAcentral is "partial 16S ribosomal RNA". It matches the Rfam family "Bacterial small subunit ribosomal RNA", at positions 524 to 776 of the family's 1533-position model. The record is from RNAcentral.